Molecule: small nuclear RNA, 104 nt
Filed under: Dasypus novemcinctus (nine-banded armadillo)
Lineage: Eukaryota; Metazoa; Chordata; Mammalia; Cingulata; Dasypodidae
Source: RNAcentral
GUGCUUACUUCAGCAGCAUAUUAUUAAAAUUGGGACAAUACAGAGAAGAUUGCUAUGGUCCCUGCACAUAGAUAACACAAAUUCAUGACACGUUCCAUAUUUUU